RNAcentral lists this long non-coding RNA (3010 nucleotides) under Lotus japonicus. Its description in RNAcentral is "long non-coding RNA (LJAP_LNC000769)". Lineage: Eukaryota; Viridiplantae; Streptophyta; Magnoliopsida; Fabales; Fabaceae. The record is from RNAcentral.
AAUAAUAAAAAAAUUCGAUUGAACUCAGAAUCGCAAUUUAGGGUUUAAGAGGAAAAAAAAAACCAGGCCAAAGACAAGUUGAAAAACUAGUGGUAGGGUUUUCAGUUACCUUGUUUGAAAGAGCCAUGUAUAAAACCGGUGUGUAUGUUGGUUACAGGGCAUAGUGCUUCGAAACUGCUACUGAAGCUUGUUGCAGCAAGGACAAUCGGAACGAACCCUAAUCCUCUCUUCAAAUCGUGCUCUUUCUUCUGUACCAGAACGGAGGAGGAGAAGGAGAAGACCCUGAAUUUGUUUUUGCAUGAUAUAGGCACAAAAAUGUCUAUGGAUCUCAAUGAUUUUAAGAUCAUUAAGGAAGGUGAAGCUGAGAUUCUUAUGCAUGCUGAGAAUGAAGUAUUCUAUAACAAAGCUCAGGUACAAAAAAAAUCAAUUUUUUACUAUGUUUUUUCCGUUUUGAAAUCAGGGUUGCGAAGAAAAAUCAAUUUUUUUUCAAUCUGAGUUUUGGUUCAUGGUAGAAAAAGUUAGCUGGCCAAGAAAAAUUAAAUUUUGAAUAGUGGGGUGGUCAGAACUUUUGUAAAUUGUCUUUGAUAGGGUUUAUUGUUGAUUGUUUAUGCUUGUCUGUUGAAUUAUGCAGGCCUUGUAUUUAUCAGGUUGAUAUCAGUAUGUUUCCGGUUAAUGUAGUUUCGGGGUUUAUUUUCUUGGCUGUGUAAGAUAGACUGAUCCCAUUUUCCUUUUAUUAGGUUAAUAACAGGGAUAUGUCAAUUGCUGUUUUGAGAACUUUUAUAUCGAAACGGAAGCAAGAGCAUGAAGCAAAUUUGUCCAAGAGAUCGAAAAAGACACAAAAACCAUCUGAAAAUGGUUCUUCUGAAUUAGUUACGGAGGAAGUAUUUCACGAAGCUGCACCAGAAGAUCAUAAGUCUAAUGGGGAAUGUGAAAUCAAGGAAGAGAUAUCUCCAGAAGAACCAUGCAGUGAAACGGAUGGAUCAGUUAAGAUAACUGAAGAAUGUAGAAGUGGAGAAGAACAAAUUGAUCUUUUGGAAGGAAAAGGACGGAAGGAGCUGAAGCCACCAAUAGUUCUUGAGGUUUUCCAUGCUUUUUAGCUUUCAUUAGCAUAACUCUUUAAUGUCAUGAAGGCAUCACUAUCACCAUUGUCCUUCCAUAUCGGAUAUAAAUAUUUUUCUUUGCAAUUCAAAUCCAGUUCCGGUAUCACAUGUAUGAUUGCUCUUUUACUUUCCUGCAUACAGGCCUUGUCUGCUUCUGGGUUAAGGGCUCUCAGAUAUGCUCGGGAAAUAGAAGGGAUUGGUCAGGUUGUUGCCCUGGACAAUGAUGCAGGUGCUUCAAGGAUUUUUCAGUUUAUAUUGUCUUCAAAUUUUGUUCUGUGGUUUUAAAACAUAAAAAACUCUGCACCUUUGUGGUUUGUCUACUCUUAGGAUACUUAUAGUUGCUACCUUUUGUUUGAGAUUAGUGCUUAUUCUUUGUUUAUAAGCAUAUGAGUCUGCAUACAUAGUACUGAUUUUUGCUUCUGGCAGCUUCUGUCGAAGCUUGCAGAAGGAACAUCAAAUUCAAUGGUUCAGUUGCAGUCUCAAAAGUGGAGUCUCAUCUUGCUGAUGCUCGUGUAUACAUGCUAACCCACCCUAAUGAGUUUGAUGUGGUAAGUAGAUGCCACUGUUAUGCACUUGUAUUCACCUCUUAGUCUAAGCAACAUACAUUUUUCAUUGUCUUCACAUGUUUUGUUUUUCAGGUUGAUCUUGAUCCUUAUGGUUCUCCUUCUGUUCCCCUCCUUGAGAACAUGAUAAACAUCCACUCGCCAAGCACGACCUAGCAAGUCCUUAAUAUCCCAAAUGAUGGAAGCAUAUAAAUGCCUCGGAGAAGGAACAUAAUGCACCAAGGUAUUGCAUCUAAGGAAUCCGAUUGACACUCCACAAUGCGAGCACCACAUUCCCAAGCCAAACACAAACCAUGAUAAAUUCCAAGCAGCUCAAGAAGCAGAAUGUUUGGGUCAUUUCGGUAGCCAUAAAAACCACUGAGCCAUUGGCCAAGCUGCUACGAAAACAUCCUCCAAAACAACCUCUAUGAGGAUUACCUCUCACGCUGCUAUCCACGUUAAUCACUAAGUUGUCCGAUCCACGAGUAGCCCAACAAACCAGUCUAGGAGGAGUUUGAGAAACACUAGAAGACUCCCCAAAACAGCGCCAUAACUCAGAAGCCAUUGGACUCCAUAACAUGAGAACUGAGCAUGCGAUUCUCCGUGCAGAAAAUGCAUCUCAUUCGCCAAAUCUACCAUAACGUUGCUACCGUAAUUUUUCCAAACUUAAUUCCAGAAGCCAUUGGACUCCAUAACAUGAGAACUGAGCAUGCGAUUCUCCGUGCAGAAAAUGCAUCUCAUUCGCCAAAUCUACCAUAACGUUGCUACCGUAAUUUUUCCAAAAUUAAUUCCGCAUUUUGUAUGUACAGAAUGCCAGCUAGAAUGUAAACAACGACAAUGAUAUUUUCAAUUUAGAGAUGACGUGAAAAAUGCAUACGUGCGACAUUAAAACCAAUUCUCUACAAAUUUAUGGUGACUUCAUGCAUUUUCCUCAAUUUAAUAUUUCAGGUAAUUAAGAAAUAAUAAAAAAAUUCGAUUGAACUCAGAAUCGCAAUUUAGGGUUUAAGAGGAAAAAAAAACCAGGCCAAAGACAAGUUGAAAAACUAGUGGUAGGGUUUUCAGUUACCUUGUUUGAAAGAGCCAUGUAUAAAACCGGUGUGUAUGUUGGUUACAGGGCAUAGUGCUUCGAAACUGCUACUGAAGCUUGUUGCAGCAAGGACAAUCGGAACGAACCCUAAUCCUCUCUUCAAAUCGUGCUCUUUCUUCUGUACCAGAACGGAGGAGGAGAAGGAGAAGACCCUGAAUUUGUUUUUGCAUGAUAUAGGCACAAAAAUGUCUAUGGAUCUCAAUGAUUUUAAGAUCAUUAAGGAAGGUGAAGCUGAGAUUCUUAUGCAUGCUGAGAAUGAAGUAUUCUAUAACAAAGCUCAG